GAUCAUGAAGACACAGAUGACAGUGACAACACCGUUGCAGGAGAUGACCUGAGCAAGGCUGCCUCAGAGGUCCAGGAUGACUCUACUCUAGCUGAUGUGUGUGCACCAUUAGAUGAAUCUAGUGACGUGCUUUCAGAACAGCUAGUUGAUAUUGAACCAGCAACUGAUGUAGACGUUGUAUCCAGUGUUCCCACACAGGAUAAUAAGGAUGAUGACGUGCUUGAGGAAGACUCAUGUCUUGGAGAAGUGACUUCAUGUCUCAUUGGAGACUGUUUAG
Molecule: long non-coding RNA, 277 nt
Organism: Salvelinus namaycush (lake trout)
Lineage: Eukaryota; Metazoa; Chordata; Actinopteri; Salmoniformes; Salmonidae
Exons: 4
Source: RefSeq, a predicted model, not a curated record